This 327-nucleotide ribosomal RNA is filed under the name uncultured eukaryote. RNAcentral's name for it is "partial 18S ribosomal RNA". It matches the Rfam family "Eukaryotic small subunit ribosomal RNA", at positions 1470 to 1796 of the family's 1831-position model. The record is from RNAcentral.
CCCUUAGAUGUUCUGGGCCGCACGCGCGCUACACUGACGAAUGCAACGAGCUUAUAACCUUGGCCGAAAGGUCUGGGUAAUCUCCAAAUUUCGUCGUGAUGGGGAUAGAUUAUUGCAAUUAUUAAUCUUCAACGAGGAAAGCCUAGUAAGCGCAAGUCAUCAGCUUGCGUUGAUUACGUCCCUGCCCUUUGUACACACCGCCCGUCGCUCCUACCGAUUGAAUGGUCCGGUGAAGCGUUCGGACCGUGGCCUUUGGACGGUUCGCCGUCUGUUGGCUGCGGGAAGUUCGUUAAACCUUAUCAUUUAGAGGAAGGAGAAGUCGUAACA